This 4128-nucleotide long non-coding RNA is filed under the name Sus scrofa (pig). RNAcentral's name for it is "lncRNA (ENSSSCG00060011190.1)". The record is from RNAcentral. Lineage: Eukaryota; Metazoa; Chordata; Mammalia; Artiodactyla; Suidae.
UUUUUUUUUUUUUUGUAUUUAGGGCCACACCUGUGACAUAUGGAACUCCCACUGUGAAUAUUUUAAUGUGUUUCUUUAUAAAAUAUGAGGUCAAAAUCUCAAUGGACAUCAUGGUUUGCAUUCCUUUUCUUCUCUUAAAAUUAUGAAUUAGUCAUUAUACCCUAUUACUAUCCCCAUUGGCUAUUUCAAAUGCCUAACACUUUCAGCUCAAAUUUACAUUUGGAAUGAAAAAUAAAUCAAAACAUGAUAAUUUGAAAUAAAGAAGAAAAAAGUGGCAACAUUUAGGAACAGAAUAAAAGAAAUGUAGAUGUUUUACCUGUGAACAUAGUUUCCCAAAGUAGCACUGAGGAACUGUUUGCCUGAAAACUAAUUCAUACAUCUAAACAACAGAUGCUGUGACUUUUCAAAUGCAUAAUGCCAUACCUUUAUCAAUUUCUGCAUUUUCAAUUAAAUCUCUAGAGAAUAAAAUUGAUCACUGCAUUCCAAGAAGUACAUAAUUGAAUCACAAGGUAAGACUUGAUUGAAUAGGAAAUUGACUUAGUUCACUAAAUUGGAAGUAUCACAUUGACUUAAAAAGAAAAAACACUGAAAUAAGUGACAAAAGGACUGCUUCAAAAUUCACCUACUGAAAGGCAAUCAGACUCUGGGAAUUAUAACAGAUAUAUAAACUAUAUUAAAAUACAUAUAAGAUGUUACCAAUACAAGAAAACUAGCUAGUUCUACAGUCAAGUUUAGUGGAAAGAGGCAAUAACUUUGGGCAACAAUUUUGGUUUUUGAGUUUGGAUGAAAUCACUACAUUUAGAUUUUUUUUGUAAACAGUGUUAAGAUUCAUUGGAAAAACUCAACUGAUUUAAGAAAAAUGCUGAUUAAGUUCAAAUUAUAUAUGGACUUAAUCAUAAUAUGUCAUAUCCCUAAGAUGCAUUUUAUCUAACUAUAAACAUCCACUAUACAAAUGUAUGUUCUUAGGAGAAGGCUGAUCAGAUAAGAGCACGUAGAUAAAUUAUUAUUACCAUUUUAUACAGCAGAGUAGGAAUUGUAAGAAAAGUAAAGGAUUAUUUCUGUUUAAAUAUUGGAAGCCCUGAGUCCAAAGGGAUUUACAUGAAAAAAAGGAACAGACUGUAUGUUAGCUCCAAGGUAUCAGUUGAUGCAGAGGCUCAAAGGAUGCCAUCUGAACUUAGGUACUAUCUCAUAGGUUUCUUUUAGAUGGAUCCAUUCAGAUAGGCUUUCCCUUAAUGACCAAAAGAUGACUAAAAUCUAAUGGCCUCUUAGCCUCUUACUUUCAAGCCUAACAGGAAAAAUAAAGAUUCUUUUUCCAGGAUUCUCAAUCAGAGAUUCGCUUUUCUCUUUGGUCCUGAUUGGUCCAGGAAGACAUUCUUGCCUUGGGUGUUAGGAGUAUGUGAUGUAUUAAUAAGCACAGGACUAAAUCUCAUGUCCACUCCUGCUGAGGGUUGAGUAUGUGUUGAUUUUAAAGAAAGAAAUUGUGAAACGGUGAAACGGACAAGAGUUCUAUUAUACAGUUUAGCGAAUUGAUGAAAAUUGCUUUUAUUAUGGGGGUGUCAUUUAAAAGAAAAACGAUGCCUUUCUAAAUUUACCAUAAAAUGGCUUUUUUUUUUCUUUAUAUGGCUGCAUCUGAGGCAUAUGGAAAUUCGUGGGCUAAGGGUUGGGCCACAUCCACAGCAACACCACAUCCAAGCCACAUCUGUGGCCUGUGUCACAGCUUGCCGCAACGCUGGAUCCUUAAGCCACUGAGUGAGGCCGGGGUUGGAACUGACAUCUUCACGGAGAAUAUGGCAGAUCCUUAACUUGCUGAGCCACAAUGGGAACUCAAUAAAAUGGCAUUUUAUCAUUCAGGAAAUUGUAGCACAAUUGAUUAUGAGUGUGUGUGUGUGUGUGUGUGUGUAUGUGUGUGUGUGUGUGUGUGAUGGGUACCUGAUAGCAGAAGAAUAGGUCCAUGAAAGGAGCUCCAUUUUAGGAAUUGUUAAAAUUAUGAGAAAUUUUUCUGGCUUAUUUGGAAUCCUGCCAUAUUCCCAAGUCACACUUCCCUUAGAGAAAAAUGACUGCCUGAAAGCAUAAGACUUCUGUGGCCCAUGGGGGAAGCUUGCCAGGAGGAAUGUGUGUGUUUGCCAGGAUGUGUGGUCAGAGAGUCAUUCUACUGAGGGGGAAAAAAAAAUGCUGGCAUCAGAUCAAUCCAAGACUGCUGAGGAGAUGGAGAUAUAUGUCCUGGAAGAAUCACAAAUCUCCAUCAAAGUUUCAAGUCUCCUGUUGAGUUGUUAAGAGAUACCAGAUUUACCGAGGAACAGACUGAAUUUAUGAAUGAGUCUCGCCAAUAAGGAUAAACUCUAAACAUAGUAUUUAAAAUCAAUCGUUUGUUUUUAUAGAACCAUUGUGGUAGUAAAUAUGUUGUAUUCCUCAAAUUACUGACCUCAAUCCCAACUUCGAUAAUGAUUAACCAAAUCCUGAAUACUAAACAUCAUGGGUAAGUUCAAGGUCCUUCCCUCCUUUUUAAACAAUUAUAUAAUUUACACAAAUAUUUAAAAUAUUGGUAUAUGUAGUGCAUAUUUAUAUAGGAGUAUAUAUAGUGUAAUAUAUAUUAUAUAGUGAGAGAGAAAGAGAAAGAGUAUAUUUUAGAGAUUUAAGAUAAGAUCUUACUCUUCUACUUCCUAAGCAUUUAAUUUUUGGACUAGUUACAUUAGUCACUCAUAAUAUACUCUUAUCACUAAAAAUAUGAAAAAAUUCCAAUUAAGUUGUUUAAAUGUAAAAUACGCUAAUGAAUGCAAUAUCUUGUAGAAAGUAUGUGUCAAAUAAGUGAUGCUGGGUUUGUUGAUGAUGGAGGAAGCAAAGUUGAUUAUGAUUUUAGCUAAUAUUUAAAAAAAAUAAUUCUCCACUUCACCUAUAGUCCAUCUUUAUGAGAUAUUGUCAUUAAUCAUUAAAAAGUUCACCUACACUUUCUAAAAGGAAAUAUUCAAAUUUCUUUAUUUACCUCAUUACUUAGAUUAGAACUGGGUAUACAGUUGGUAUAUAUAUGCCUUAUUGAAUUAAUGUCUAAAUCUUUACAUUUUUUAUAUUGUGUAUUUGUGUAUUGUGUAUUACCACACACAUUUGAUGAGGACUAGGUAAGAAGAAUAGAGUGGACUCCAAGGGCUAAUUAUUCACUCAGUGAUAUAAGAAAUAAUAUAUACUAAGACCUAAAGCCAAUGAUGAAUGGAGACCAACUCAAUGACAUGAAACAAUAAAUAGAUUAAAAAAUAUGAUAUAUGGAGUUCCCAUUGUGGCACAGUGGAAAUGAAUCUGACUAGUUACCAUGAGGUUGUAGAUUCGAUUCCUGGCCUCACUCAGUGGGUUAAGGAUCAAGAGUUGCUGUGAGCUGUGAUAUAGGUCACAAAUGCUGCUUGGAUCCUGUGUUGCUAUGGCUGUGGCAUAGGCCAGCAGCUACAGCUCCAAUUUGACCCCUAGCCUUGGAACUUCCAUAUGCCCUGGGUAUGACCCUAAAAAGCAAAAAAUAAAAACAAAAAUAAAUAAAUAAAUAUAUGAUAUAUUCAUAAAAUGAAACUUUUUGUCAAUAAAGUUUGUCCAAGUAAGAAAACACAUAGAAAUAGAAAGUAGAUUAGUGGUUUCCAGGGGUGAAGGGGAAAGGGGAAGGGGAAGUAAUUGCUAAUGAUUACCUCUUGGGAGAAACAUUUGGGAAAUAGACAGCUAUGAUGCUUGGACAACUCUAUGAAUAUAUUAAAAUGAUUGUAUACCUAAAAGGGGUGAAAUACAUGGGACAUGAACUUCAUCUCAAUAAAGUUGUUAUUGAAAAGAAAUAAAUCAGAAGAAAGGUAAAGAAGACCAAAGAAGAAAAGGCUGAGAUGCCAAUAGUUUAGGAAAUUAUAGGGAGUUCCCAUCAUGACUCAGCAGUUAAUGAACCCGACUAGGAUCCACGAGGAUGAGGGUUCGAUCCCUGGCCUCACUCAGUGGAUUAAGAAUCCAGUGUUGCAUGUAGAGUAGGUUGCAGGUGCGGCUCAGAUCCUGCAUUGCUGUGGUUGUGGCAAAUGUGGGCAGCUGUAGCUCUGAUUCCACCCCUGGCCUGAGAACUUCCACAUGCUGCAGGUGUGGCCCUAAAAAGCAAAAAAAAAAAAAAAAAAAAAA